RNAcentral lists this unclassified non-coding RNA (18 nucleotides) under Mus musculus (house mouse). RNAcentral describes it as "oocyte_clustered_small_RNA9041". Lineage: Eukaryota; Metazoa; Chordata; Mammalia; Rodentia; Muridae. The record is from RNAcentral.
UGCAGUGCCCCAGCAUAG